RNAcentral lists this ribosomal RNA (429 nucleotides) under Bacteroidota bacterium. Its description in RNAcentral is "Bacteroidetes bacterium partial 16S ribosomal RNA". It matches the Rfam family "Bacterial small subunit ribosomal RNA", at positions 355 to 776 of the family's 1533-position model. Lineage: Bacteria; Pseudomonadati; Bacteroidota. The record is from RNAcentral.
UAGGGAAUCUUCGGCAAUGGGGGGAACCCUGACCGAGCAACGCCGCGUGAGUGAAGAAGGUUUUCGGAUCGUAAAGCUCUGUUGUUAAGGAAGAACGAGUGUGAGAAUGGAAAGUUCAUACUGUGACGGUACUUAACCAGAAAGGGACGGCUAACUACGUGCCAGCAGCCGCGGUAAUACGUAGGUCCCGAGCGUUGUCCGGAUUUAUUGGGCGUAAAGCGAGCGCAGGCGGUUAGAUAAGUCUGAAGUUAAAGGCAGUGGCUCAACCAUUGUAGGCUUUGGAAACUGUUUAACUUGAGUGCAGAAGGGGAGAGUGGAAUUCCAUGUGUAGCGGUGAAGUGCGUAGAUAUAUGGAGGAACACCGGUGGCGAAAGCGGCUCUCUGGUCUGUAACUGACGCUGAGGCUCGAAAGCGUGGGGAGCGAACAGG